Molecule: long non-coding RNA, 1666 nt
Organism: Phragmites australis (common reed)
Lineage: Eukaryota; Viridiplantae; Streptophyta; Magnoliopsida; Poales; Poaceae
Exons: 2
Source: RefSeq, a predicted model, not a curated record
CGCGAUUUUCGUCCAUCGGAUCUCUACCACGCGACGUUCUCCCCUCCUUCCUUUCCUCUCCAUUGCUCGAACUCUCUGGAUCCCACCCUGCCGCCUCCACCUUCCGUCCACCUCUCCUCCUCCGGCGCCGCUGCCUGCUCCUCGCUCAGGCUGCUGGCCUCCGCAUCUACCAACGGCAGCGCCCGUCGCCACCUUCCCCGACGCAGCAUCCCAUCUCUCCCCGCGAGCCACCUCUCGCUCCUCCUUACAUCGUGCUCGGUGCCACCGGCCGAUGUGCACCGCGCCGGCUGCAUUUUACAGCCUUACGCCUCCACAAGAGAAGGGCCGGAGCUGCCCUGCGCGGUUGAGGAGGGAGCGGCCGGGGCCAGGCAGGUCUGACCCCCUCUGCCCCCGCCACUCUACCAAAUCCCUCUGCCUUCCCUCGGCACUCCACAAGAUUGAGAAGGUGAGGACGAUUCCUAUUUGGAUCAUUUCUCACCUCAAAAUACUCUCCAAUUUGGAUCAUUUCUUUUCUUUCUUCUGAGUGAAAGUAAGUCAGAUGAUAGGCAGUUCUACAUAAGUACUCCGACCAAGAUGCUGCAGCUGAGAACGGACUCUGCUAACGACCGAGUGGCUUGGAUUGAAGCCCUGGUAUCUUCCCGAGCUAAAUCUUCUCCUAAUGGGGGUUUAUUAGACCAGAAUGAUGCAUCAUUUUCUACAGUGAGGCUAAGGAAUCAUUUGCACGCAGAAGGCCUUGGUGAGGAAGCUCGACCCAGACUCUGAACAGAUUGUCCAUUCAGAAUUCUCUCAGUAUUAUGCACAGAUGAAACAACACUGUGAAGAAUAUUUGAGCUUUCUCGGCAGUCUUUGACGACAGCAUGAGGCACUUAAUGCAGAUGAUACUGCUAAUGUCAAAAAGCCUCAUCUGCACUUGAUGAAACCUGAGUACUCCUACUCUGAACCUGGAAAAUGUAGUGGUGCUUGAUUUUUUUUUUAAUUCUCUGCUUUCCUUUAUUGGUUAUGCUUGCUUUAUUAUCCUUUUUUGCAUUCAUGAUGCAUGUUUUCCCCCUAUACUAUCCUGCCAAAAUGCCGUGUGCCAUAUGUUUCAGCUGAGCAUAAAUGCUGAAUAACAUGUGGGCUUAAAUUAAAAUUAACUCCAUCUCCAAAAGAUGUAUGGUCGCUGCUCUUUGUUUUUUCUGAUUUGUUUUGUCAAGGUUUUCUUUUCCCUUAAGCUUUAAUAUGUGUGCUUACUGUUAACUUUUCAAUCAGAGAGGAGCAACAUAGAAUGUUCUGAUGAUGUUGGGCGACAAGAGUUAGAUAAAUUUUCAGAUGAAGAUGACUAGCAUUUCUAUGAUACAAGGCUGCAAGUCCUGAAUGAAAAAAAAUCAAAUUCUGGCAACUUAAAGAUCCUAUGCGAUGACGAUAAAUUUGUAGAACCAAGGGCUGGUAUGGGAAAUAGUGGGUGUUUAUCGCUGUCUUCAAAACGCCGCACAAAGUUACCCGAGCCAGCUAAGAAGGAAAAGGGUCUUAGUCUUUGGUCAAUGCUAUGGAUGCUGUGGAAUUAUGCCAACAACAUCCAUAUUUAUUCUUUUGACGGAUGUUAUGAUUAUAAUCAUGGUGAUGUGUGUUAUCAUGUAACAUGCUAUUUUUAUUAUUUUCUAUAUAUAUGUUCAUGGUUUCAAUGUUA